This 320-nucleotide long non-coding RNA is filed under the name Volvox carteri. RNAcentral describes it as "long non-coding RNA (VCAR_LNC003646)". Lineage: Eukaryota; Viridiplantae; Chlorophyta; Chlorophyceae; Chlamydomonadales; Volvocaceae. The record is from RNAcentral.
CGCAUUUGUAGCGGAGAACCGUAAGGCCUAGUGGAAACACCCCGCACACUAACAGGGUGUUUACACGUGGAAGUCUGUUAGCGACCUUUUUAAAAAUUCUCACCCUGGACGUCAGGUUUGCACGUUCUGUUUCGCAAUAUCACAUAUUCUAUAUAAAUAAAUGAUAGAAAUGCAAAAGGUUUGACGGAAGGCGGAGGGACGGCGACGAACGGGGGGCCCAUGUGGAGACAAGGCCCUUGUUAAACGUCCAAUAAGUCCGCAAAAGCUAAAGCUGCCCCGAACCAGCUUUAAGCAUUGUUAACUUUGAGCGCGGAAAAUGU